Long non-coding RNA from Nothobranchius furzeri (turquoise killifish), 4765 nucleotides. Lineage: Eukaryota; Metazoa; Chordata; Actinopteri; Cyprinodontiformes; Nothobranchiidae. The record is from Ensembl.
AUGCAGAUCAGAGACAUGAGACCCUCCGGUGCUGCAGGAACUCAUUGGGGGUUCUUCUGGAUUUGUGUUUUCUGGUUCAACAUAGCUUCCUGCUUUAGUGCCAAUGAUCUGGUAAACCUGCAGACCACAGAUGGGACAUACGCACAGUGUGGAGACAACGUGAUCCUGACGUGUAAUGCCAGCUCGCCUCAGCCGUGGAACUUGAAUAUAAAAAAGUUUGUCUGGCAGUUCGGAAACACAACAAUGUGCCAGUUUGGAGCGGACCAAGACGACGAUCAGUUUAAGUGUGAAAGCACGAACACCACAUUUAAUCGCAUAAUCUUUCUGACGCUUUACAACGUGAUGCCGACCAACGAAGGAAACUACCUCUGCAAGCUUUACUCCACCAGCGGGUCCUGGAACGGUGGAAGUCAGCUGAGGGCAGAAGAAUGCCUGGAGAGCACUGAAGCCUCCUCGAACGAGAAUUACGCUGAAUGCUCGUUUGAUGGGGUCUACCCCAGCGGAGAGGUCCACUGGUUCCAGGGAGACACCAACGUAACCGAAGAGGCUUACACACACAAAGAGAAGGACGAAUCUGAGCGCUUUAACAUCCGGAGCGUGAUGAACCUGAAGAAUAAUGGUCUGGGCGAGCCUUAUAACUGUUCCCUGUGGAUCCCGUCUCUGGGCAGGUACAUCGCCACUGAAGAAGUUUCAUCAGGUGGUUCGGUCAGACUCCAGUGGAUCUGGCUGGUUGUUUCUCUGAUGAUGAGUUUUAUCGUGUAAGAUUUCUCAAACGGAAGUGAGCCACUGACAGCUGCAUGUGAGUUUUGGGAAAAGUUGUUUCACCUUUUAAAUGUUGCCAUUCCUGUUCUUUCCUUUGCAUUUGAAACUGAUGAAAGAGCAUUUUUCAUGUGUUUUGCUGGAAAACUCCACUUGGUGGCAGCAUGGUGUUUAUUGCUAAGCUUUAACAGAAAGGGGGAAAUGCUUCUGCACAGGAUUUGGAUGUUUCUUCUUCUGUUGGUGUUUUUUCAUGUGAACCUUGAACGAUUUCUCCUUUUAAGGUAGAUCAGAUAAAAAUAUCUGCUUCAGUCUUCUUUUAAAUAUGAAAAGACCAAACAGUUGAUGUCCUAAAACGUGUUUACCACUUAGCCACUGAUACACAACUUAUCCAUUGCUGUGAAAGAUGGUGUGUGUUCAGAUUACAGUUCAAAUACAAGCUGUUACUACCUUGUUGUUAUAACAAGUAUUCUCCACAAUACUCCUCUGAAUGUAUUAAAACAUGCAUCUAUCUGCUUUCUGCAUGGAACUGAGAUUGCAUGAAAUGUGAUGAUUUUGCCAAAUUUGGGCUAUUUUGAUUGAUCUUAGUCACUGACCAUAGCUUUCUUAACAACCUCUGUUUGGAGAAAUAAAGUUGACGUCUCACAAGACCAAUGUUGUCACAGCUAAUACAACUUGCCUUUCGUUUACGAGUACGAAACGGACCGUGUAUGCCUUCCGCAAGAACCAGAACCUCCAAUCAGAUCAUUCACAUCGACUGCGGUGCAGAUCCGGAUGCAGAUCUCUGGCUUUUUCAAGUAUUAAUGACAGCGGCAUCAGUUCACGGUUAAUGAUAUUACAUGUUAGUGUAUUAUGCCCUCAAGGGAGACCAUUUCCAGAGACGCUCAGCCCACGAUCCACAGUCGAUGUUAAUGGCAUUUCAUCCCGAAGCCAUCUGGAAACCGGACUGCAUCUGUCCUGCACUUGGUGUGCUCAGGUUCCAGAGGUAGGCAACUCGGGUCCUAGAAGCCAGUAUCCAGACCGUUUUAGAGGUUUCUCUCAUUCAACACACACCUGAUUUUAAACAGCAAGUGACUGACAGCCUUCUGCAGAGCCUGAUGAGCUGCUGAAUGGGUGAUUCAACUGUGGUGAAGCAGGGAAACAACUAAAACAUGCUGGAUAGCAGCUCACUAGAACCAGGGUUGUCUACCUCAGCGUCAGACCAAAUUGUGCUGCUGCUACCUUGAAACUGCUGGAAUUUACAAUAUUCCAACAGUCAGUCCAUCCAACCAUUUUCAUCUGUUUAUCCGGAGUCAGGUCACGGGGGCAGCAGCCUAAGCAAGGAGGCCUAGACUUCUAUCUCCCCAGGCAUUUGGGCCAGCUCCUCCGGGGGAAUCCUAAGGCAGUGGUUCCUAACCUGGGGGUCCCGACCCCCACAAGGGGGCGCCAAAGCCUCUCAGUGUGUCGCCAGGUCCCCUCCACUUUAAGGGGUUAAAACUUCAUCUAUUACUUGUUUAUAGCCUACAUUUUGCUCACAUUUUUUUCAUGAGUGAAAAGUUUACUGAUAUUAAGACAGGAAAUAAUUAGGACAGAAAGAGUAACACACUUUUAAGAACAUUUUGCUCAGCUCACUGUUUUAUUUUCAAGUGUCAAAAGUUCACAGCCUUUACAGUAAAUAAUCUAGUAUAAACAGUAAUAUACACAUUUAAGUACAUUUUGCUCAGUGUAUUUUUUAUGUGUCAAUCGUUUAUUGAAAGGAUUGAUUGAUUUAUCAGUGUUUACAAGAAACAAUGUGUUCAGAAAAGUAACACAAACUGUCAAGCACAUUAUGCUCUGUUUGGUUUUGUUAAUGACUUUGUUCUGUACUGGAGCCUACUAUUACUGUUAUCUAUUGAAUCAAAGCAUAUUAAAAUGUGCUUGAAUAAUUUUAUCAUUUCUUAAUAAUGUUUGUACUGGAAGAGAGAAUGGGAGGGGGUCGUCAAAAAUUGUACUGGUAAAAAAUGGGUCCCUUGGGAAAAAGGUUGAUAACCACUGUACUAAGGCAUUCCGUGGCCAGCUGAGAAACAUAGUCCCUCCAGCGUGUCCUGGGUCUUCCUUUGGGUCUCCUCCUGGUUGGACGUGCCCAGAACACCAGGGAGGUAUCCAAGAUUCCCGAGCCACCUCAUCUGGCUCCUCUUGAUGUGGAUGAUGACCAAGCUUCUAACCCUAGCUCUAAGGGAGAGUCCAGACACCCUGCAUAGAAAAUCCAUUUCGGUCACCUGCAUCCGUGAUCUCGUUCUUUCUGUCACUACCCAAAGCUCAUGACCAUAGGUGAGGGUAGGAACGUAGAUUGGCCGGUAAACCGAGAGCUUUGCCUUCUGGCUCAACUCUCUCUACACCACGGCAGAUCGGUACAACACCCUCAUCAAUGCAGAUGCAGCACCAAUCCACCUGUUGCUCUCACGCUCCAUCUUACCCUCACUGGUGAACAAGACCCAGAGUUACUCAAACUCCUCCCCCUGAGGCAGGACCCCAUCUCUGACCUGGAGAAGGCAUUCUACCAUUUUCCGACUUAAGACCAUGGUCUCGGAUUUAGAGGAGCUGAUUCUCAUCCCAGCCACUUCACACUCGGCCGUGAACCACUCCUGUGAGCACUGGAGAUCACGUUCUGAUGAAGCCAACAGGACUACAUCGUCUGCAAAAAGCAGAGACCCGAUCGUUAGACCACCAAAACACCUUGGCUGUUCAAGGGCAGCCUUGGCAGUGGUAAAGGAGUGAACCACAUUUUUAAAACGAUUGUACUUGUCUUUGAUUUUUAUUUCUUGUGGGAAAAUAAACAAAGUGCCUUUUUUUUUGCUGCUGAUCCUUCCCUAGAUACAACUGAGUUGGAGAUUGGAGCUACUGGAACAUUGGAGGCCGACUAAAUUGGACUGAUAGUGGAUCAAUGGGUCAGUGAAACAGGAUGUGGAUAUUUUCUGUUACAUAAGUGCAACUACUGGAGCCAGAGAUUCAAAUCAAUACGUUUUAUUUAGGUCCGUGUUUCUAAAAAUAAACCUUUAUCCAAUCAGAAAAAUGAGUGGACAAUUAAGUUAAAGAACUCUUCUGCAGAUAAAUGAAUUAUAAAAUAAUUAUCUGCUGACAGAAGCUCACCUCUUCUGAAUGAGUCCCAACUUUUUCUGCUAUCUAUUGCAUUAAAGCAUCAACUCCAUGAGUAAUUACUUUUAGAAAACAUCUAAAGCUUAAAAUGCAGCUGAUCUGUUUGUUUUCAGCUCCCAAAGCUCAAAAAUCACAAAGCUGUACAAACAUCUGUCAGUGUGAGCAAAUAUCCUCUGGCAAAAUGUCGAACUAAUACCAGCUUUCAUCCCAUCCACAACAAAGAUUAGUAAACUUUAAUUAUGCCUGGAUCUAUUUGUUUUUUUCCAUCUGACACGAUGGAUGUUUGAUUGUAUUAAUACACAACGAGUUAGCCCUCUGGGAAAACACACACAACCUUAAACACACCCCUAAAAUCACCGAUUUCAAUCAGGCGGUGGUGCAGUAUGGGUCCGAGUGCAGAGCUCCGGAAAGUUCAAGCAAGGAAUCUAUUUUAUCCCCACUCCCCAUGCAGAUUGUCAUAAAGUUAAAGAAAUUGCAUGAGCCAGACAGGAAGUAAGAGGUUUUUCAUCAAGAUACAUCUGGUGUAUUUCAAAAUAAAGCCUGUGUUGUAUUAACUUUAAUGUUUAUUUUUAUUUUAUUUUUAACGACAGGGAUAUCAGCUUACAGUGUGUGAUAGUUGACAUUAUUUGGUAUGUUUUUUAAAGUAUUGUGUUAGAUUUCUAAUCAGCUGUGGGAGCAGAUUUCACACACGAACACAAACUUAAGUCUGCAGUGUGAACGGCAGUCCGUCCAGAAGCCGCAUCCAUUCUGAACGCGGUGUAUAACAGGCUAGAGGCCGACCGAUAUAUCAGGCCGAUAUGUUCAGUUUUUUCUACAUUGGCCAAAAUUAUUUUCAAAAGCCGAUAAAAAAAAUAAUAAAUUAAAAAAUUAAAAAAGACAAAAAUGUAUAUAUAUA